This 241-nucleotide ribosomal RNA is filed under the name uncultured Staphylococcus sp. RNAcentral describes it as "partial 16S ribosomal RNA". It matches the Rfam family "Bacterial small subunit ribosomal RNA", at positions 99 to 334 of the family's 1533-position model. The record is from RNAcentral. Lineage: Bacteria; Bacillati; Bacillota; Bacilli; Caryophanales; Staphylococcaceae.
CGGACGGGUGAGUAACACGUGGAUAACCUACCUAUAAGACUGGGAUAACUUCGGGAAACCGGAGCUAAUACCGGAUAAUAUUUUGAACCGCAUGGUUCAAAAGUGAAAGAUGGUCUUGCUGUCACUUAUAGAUGGAUCCGCGCUGCAUUAGCUAGUUGGUAAGGUAACGGCUUACCAAGGCAACGAUGCAUAGCCGACCUGAGAGGGUGAUCGGCCACACUGGAACUGAGACACGGUCCAG